GACUCAGUGGCGCAACGGUAGCACUUCUGACCAGAUCAGAGGCUGCGUGUUCAAAUCACGUCAGGUCA
Molecule: non-coding RNA, 68 nt
Organism: Araneus ventricosus
Lineage: Eukaryota; Metazoa; Arthropoda; Arachnida; Araneae; Araneidae
Source: the annotation of a GenBank genome assembly